Schistocerca gregaria is the source of this 5277-nucleotide RNA transcript. It is a transcript of the gene named serine/threonine-protein kinase ULK3, with no coding region annotated. The record is from RefSeq and is a predicted model, not a curated record. Lineage: Eukaryota; Metazoa; Arthropoda; Insecta; Orthoptera; Acrididae. The transcript has 10 exons.
AGUAAAUGAAAUAAAAUCAAAACAUAUGUUUGUGACAGAGAUGCAGGUUUGAUGUUGUUGUUUCCAAUCGGUGGCAAUGUGAUAUGGCAUUACCGAAGGUGGAGGGCUAUGCCAUUGUUGAGAAAAUAGGCGCUGGAAGUUAUGCUUCAGUAUAUAAAGCGUUUAAAAAAGUUGGUGCAAGAGAGGUAGUUGCUGUGAAAUGUGUGGAUAAAUCUAGACUGAGUGGAUCUGCCAUUGAUAAUCUGGUAACAGAAAUAUCACUGCUGAAAGUCCUGAAACAUAAAAAUAUUGUUGAAAUGAAAGAUUUCAUGUGGGAUGAAAGGAACAUCUACAUUGUCAUGGAGUACUGCAAUGGUGGAGACUUGUCUUGUUUCAUACGCAAACGCAGAAAAUUACCAGAGACAGUAUGCAGGAAGUUUCUACAGCAGCUGGCUGUAGCUCUAAAAUUUCUCAGAUCUCACAAUGUCUGUCAUAUGGACUUGAAGCCACAGAAUCUUCUCCUAACAUCCACUCCAAAAUUAAUCUUAAAACUUGCAGAUUUCGGUUUUGCCCAGUACUUGUCACCUGAAGACUACAACAGCUCUCUCCGAGGUUCACCUCUGUAUAUGGCACCUGAGAUGCUGCUGAAGCGUCACUACGAUGCCUCUGUUGACCUGUGGUCAGUCGGUGUCAUAAUGUAUGAGUGCCUGUUUGGACAAGCACCUUAUUCAUCCAGUAAUUUUAAAGAGCUAGCAGAAAAGAUAAAGAGCGAAAUGCCUAUUGAGGUUCCUCGUGGUGGGUGCAUUUCAGAUGAAUGCAGAGACCUGCUUGUUAGACUUCUUAAACAUAAUCCCUCUGAGAGGAUUGAUUAUGAGUCCUUUUUUAAUCAUCCUUUCCUUGACCUGGAACACAUGCCAUCACCAGAAUCCUAUCAGAAAGCUGUGGAGCUGGUACAAAAGGCAGUGAAAUGUGAUGCUGAACAGAAAUUCAGCGAGGCAUUUGACCUUUAUUGUGAAUCCUUGAGGUAUUUUGUUCCUCUUGUGAAUGAUGAAGAUGAUACCAAGAAAAAAAUAGCCUUUCGUAAUAAGGUAAAUGAAUAUAUAAGACGAGCAGAAGACCUGAAAACACUUCUGUAUGAGAAAGAAAACAACUGUAAACACCCCAAGGGUCAACAUACCACAGAUGGAACUUUAGAAGAACUAAUGCGAUUGUGUGCGACAAACUCCACAAUGCAAACUGCUCUGGAAAUUGGUGCUUCUGCAGAGCAGUAUUUGAAAGAGGGACAGUACUCACAUGCAUUGGAAAAAUUUCAAUCUUGUCUAGGUUUACUUGUGCCACUGCUGAGCAGUGAACCAAAAGGAAGAAGACGUGACCUCUUACAUACACAAGUGCAGCAGUGGUUAACACAAGCUGAAAACAUUAAGUCUUUCUUAAAUCUCAUUAGUAUCACUGAUGACACAGCAGCACUUUCUAAAGAAGCCUGUAGUAUACAAUGAAGUUCAUUUGAUGAGAACUGAUGGAGUGUUAUCUAGUUACAUCCAGAAUUCUUUUGAAACCACAAAUUGAUACCACAAAGUAGGACACUUUAUAAAGCUUUCAGAAUAGUCACUGAUGGUAAUUCUUUGGGAUGACAACAAUUUUCUUUAAAUUACUAAGAGGUCCAGCAAGCGAGUGCAAUUUCCUUCUACUGCCCUGCAGCACUAGUGUUGCAGUUCCAUGCAUCUCUCAGGUUCAUUGUCUUUCCACUGGCAUCAUUACAACUGGACUGUGUUGUAUUUACAUUUGUUAGAGAUCAUUCAAAAUGUUUAAAGACAGACUCUGAGGUCACAAACUGUGAAGUGCAUUCUGUAAUAUGGUUUUUGAACAAAAAUAAUGUUAAGCCAGCUGAAAUUUAUCAUCAGCUUGUAGGCACUUAUGGUGAAAAUGUAAUGACUGAUGGAAUGGUGAGAAAGUGAAAAUGAUUCAAUGUUGGAUGAACCAGUGCUCAUGACUAAGCACAGUGCGGAUGGCCUCCUGUUGUCAGUGAUGGUCUGGUUGAAAAAGUGAAUGAAAAUAUGACUAUUCACAAUAAGAAUGCUUUGUGAUUAGUUUCCUAAAAUUUCAAAAAUCGUUUUGCUUGAGAUUGUCACAAAUUGUGUACUGUUGGUUUUCGAGAAUGCUUACAGACGUCCACUAAAUGAAGUGACUUGGCAGUGCUUUGAAAUUUAUUACCUGAUACAAUGAUGGGGGAGACGAAUUCUGAAACAUAAUUGUGACCGGUGAUGAAACUUGGGUUUUAAUAUUGCUUCAGAAUCAAAAUAAUAGAAACAGAGUUGAGGCAGUCAUGAUACUUCAAAACAUUUUCAGCACAAAAAAUUGUGCACAUUGAUGUGACAGGGCAUUCUGUUUGUUGAAUUCCUUCUCAAGAUGUGAAACUGUAAAUGCAAUGAGAUACUGUGAAACAUUGAGAAAACUUCGGCAUUGCUUCAUUCGAGCAUUCAUCGUACAGUCCCAAUCUCACACCUAACUACCACUUGUUUUUGAACUUGGAAGUGUGAUUUUGGAGGAAGGCGCUUUUGACAAUGACGACAUGGCAGAAAACUGUGUGUAGCAGUGGCUGUCUUCACUGGUGAUCUUUCUCUGAAGAGGGCAUAGAAAAGUUAGUUUCCCGCUGUCACAAAUGUCUCAACAGUGGUGGCAACUAUAUAGGAAAAUAAUUUAAGAAAUGCGUUCUUGUAAAAGUAAGUUUUAGUAUGAAAUAAUGUUUACUUACUUUAUGGACAUGCUUUGUAAUACGAAACACAGAUAAAAAUAAAAAGAAUCUGUUAAUGGAGUUACAGCUGUGUCGCAGUAUAUGGCAAUGAAAUCAAUUAUUGAUUGAAUAAUUUCGUAUACAUCCACCACAACCAAUGAGCACUUCUUUCUUAACUUGUGAUCACCCCACGUACACUAGAUUUUGGGUUUGGAGCCAAAUAGUGUUGACUUCUUGCCUUCAUAUUUCGCAUGACAGCUUUCAUCAGAUGAUAUAACUGGAAAUUAUAACUGCAUAUCUACACCUAUACCUAGCAAACCACCAUGAGGUGCAUGGCAGAGGAUACAUCCCAUUGUACCAAUCAUUAGGGUUUCUUUCCAUUCCGUUCACUUAUGGAGUGCGGGAACAAUUAUUGAAUGCCUCUGUGCAUGCAGUAAUUAUUCUAAUGUUAUCCUCACAAUCCCUACGUGAGCAAUAUGCAGGGUUUUGUAGUAUAUUCCUAGUCAUCAUUUAAAGCUGGUUCUUGAAACUUUGUUAAUAGACCUUGUCAGGAUGGUUUACAUGUAUCUUCAACCAGCCCAGUUCCUCCACUAUCUCUACGAUACUCUCCCACAGAUCAAACAAACCUGUUACCAUUCGUGCUGCUGUUUUCUGUAUAUAUCCCCUGUGAGUCCUAUUUGGAUGGGUCCCACACACUUGAACAAUAUUCUAGAAUUAGUCACACAAUCUGUAUGCAAUAUCCUUUUAGUCUGAUUCCACUUCCCCAGCAUUCUGUCAAUACAGUGAAGUCUACCAGCUGCUUUACCCACAACUGGACCAAUGUAAUCAUUGUGUUUCAUAUCCUUAUAUAGUUUAUUAAAAAAAAACUUCAGACUGUGGCACAAGUUAAUAACUACUUGCUCGAUUUUCUAUGUUGAAUAUUAGUGAAGCUAAGGCGCACAAACACACCCUUAAAAAUGCUGAUUUGACACCUACUGCUACGUGCAGUAACAAUCAAUUUGAUAAACUUGAUGAUGGCGUACAUGCAAUAAUACCAAUAUGUAUAGGUCAACACUCAAUAGAGGGUGGUCUUGUAGCAAGAGCUAGGUGCAGGUACUGCCAAGUCAAUUUUUUGCAUUAACUUAGUGGCAUGCACCAGCCAUUUCCAGUUUUAAUGCUUCAGCUGAAGAUGGCUCCCUAGCUGUCAGCCAAAAUGUCAUAACAAUAACUCAGUGUCGUCCAACUUCAGUCUUGCAGCCUCUGUGUGUUAAUCUAAAAACAAAAGUGCUGGCUUAAUAAACAUGUGUUCACCCUUUGUCAUCUUAUGUAACAUACCCAAAGUACUCAGCAGACGUGAGAAGUAAAAAUAUUUUACACAUUGCAGAAGCCUUUCUAAUGAUGUUGGAAAUCUUACUCCUUUGCUAAAAAAAAAUUGCUCCGUUGUAGUUUUUGUUGCUGACAAUAAUAGUAUCUGCUGAGCUGUGAUAUACACAAACUAUAACAUGUAAUUAUUUCGAUGUCUACUUUGCCUCACUAAGGUUUGCAGUACUGUUAUGCAGUCUCUUGUGAAGAUAAUAUUCAACAAGCUCCCAUCCAUGAGGAAAUUGGGAAACCCUGCCAGUUCAAAGGAAACUAAAAAAAACAUUCUUCAUUCAUCACUCUUUCUACAGAUUAUCGAGUGUCAAGGAAUGGAAAGUUCUGUUAAAAAAAAGAUGACAAUUAGUAAUGUGACUUUUCAUGCUUUCCCAACAGAUCUGUUGCAAAUACAUUUCUUGGGUUUGCUGCCGGAUCAUAUUGUGUAACUCGCAUUAUACAUCAUCGAUGCAAUUGCUCGACGACAUGCUGCCAUCACUGCUGCAAGGCGCAACUGAUGAUAAUCACGUGGCAGAAUCGAAAUUUAUCAUGCCAGAAGCAGGCAACAAUACGUGUGUGCGGGAAGGCCAUGCACACGUGCGCUAUGGGCAAUGACUGUGCUGCUGGACACUCCUACGGUUAAAGGCUGAACUAAAUCUCAGUAGCACAUUGCAUCAUGUAAUGAAUCGGGAGUUCUUAUUCUCCCUGUUUUGAUUUAAUGGCAGCCUUUGCUGGAUUCCAGGUGGCGCUUAGAUGAAAACCUGCAUCCCUGUUGACAAGACUGUCCAGCUUACGAAUAUGUAGGGGCCUCCUUAACAACACAGUCCCAGAUAGAUGACCCUGAGAAUAAAAGCCUACGUCAACAAGCUGCAGUUCCUCCAAGACUGUAUGGCCUACGUAAGAUACAUUAAGGAUGGGACUCCUCUUCACCUAAUAGUGAGUGACAUUGGAGCUCCUACUUACUUUCUGGCCAAACAUCUUACUACACUGUUGGGACCUCUCUCAUAGGCAAGUGUGAUCAACCAUAUCCAGAAUUCAUAGGACACCUAAAGACCUUCAGCUACAAGCGUUGGAUAUUUUGGUUAAGUUUUGACCUUUGUUUAUGGAAGUACCCCUGCAGGACUCAUUAGAGCUUAUCAGCAGCCAAUGUCAUCAUGGCAUUAUUUGAACACGUGCUUACCUCAACUUAUUUCUUAUUCAGUGACCAGUAUUUUGAACAAGUGGACAGUGUCGUC